This 390-nucleotide long non-coding RNA is filed under the name Sander lucioperca (pikeperch). RNAcentral describes it as "lncRNA (ENSSLUG00000023298.1)". The record is from RNAcentral. Lineage: Eukaryota; Metazoa; Chordata; Actinopteri; Perciformes; Percidae.
CCGAGUUUUACCGGCUGCGAUGUGUUACGCGCCCCUGCUUUAGAAAAAAACAGAGAAGGAAAACUUCAUAGAAAUGGCGGAGGGUGCUACGACUCUCAAAGGCUUGCGAGCCCAAAUGGGGUAAGAGGGAGUUUUCUGCAUAUCCAGUGUGGGUGUAGGCAUGUUUUACCCCUGGCAACAACUGGACCGUAUUUAGUUCAGAAUCUUCCUGUUUCCCUUAACUUUCGGUAUCUGGAAUUUACAUCCAACUCUGUGGUUUUAUGAAAGUAUCAACAAUUUUUAGAGUUAUGUGAAAUUUAGGAAUCCUGGCAUUGUGAGCAAUACAAAGAUGUCAGUUUGCUCGACCUUCAGCAGAGGACUGACAAUAAUAAAAUAAUGUUAGGAAUCUAG